GGGAAUGUGGCUUAGUGGUAGAGUGCCUGCCUAGCAAGUAAGAAGCCUGAGGUUCAAUUUCUCAGUACCA
This is a non-coding RNA of Dipodomys ordii (Ord's kangaroo rat), 70 nucleotides long. Lineage: Eukaryota; Metazoa; Chordata; Mammalia; Rodentia; Heteromyidae. The record is from Rfam.